CCCUUAGAUGUUCUGGGCCGCACGCGCGCUACACUGAUGCAUUCAACGAGUCUAAAACCUGCUCUGAUAGGGGUGGGUAAUCUUUUGAAUGUGCAUCGUGAUUGGGAUAGAUGAUUGCAAUUUUUCAUCUUCAACGAGGAAUGCCUAGUAAACGCAAGUCAUCAGCUUGCAUUGAUUACGUCCCUGCCCUUUGUACACACCGCCCGUCGCUCCUACCGAUCGAAUGAUCCGAUGAAUAUCAUGGAUUGAGGAUGCAAGCAGGUUCGCCUGUCUUCAUCUUCGAGAAGUGAAGUAAAUCUUAUCAUUUAGAGGAAGGAGAAGUCGUAACA
This 329-nucleotide ribosomal RNA is filed under the name uncultured eukaryote. RNAcentral describes it as "partial 18S ribosomal RNA". It matches the Rfam family "Eukaryotic small subunit ribosomal RNA", at positions 1470 to 1796 of the family's 1831-position model. The record is from RNAcentral.